Long non-coding RNA from Saccostrea cuccullata (small rock oyster), 333 nucleotides. RefSeq lists it as uncharacterized. The record is from RefSeq and is a predicted model, not a curated record. The transcript is spliced from 3 exons. Lineage: Eukaryota; Metazoa; Mollusca; Bivalvia; Ostreida; Ostreidae.
GUAGGACUAUCUUUUGUUUUUUCCUCUCUUUUACUAUGAUGAUUUUCCUGCUGUGAAGCUUUUCUUGUUUAAAGCUCAAUUUCUCUAUGACCACGGGAGUAAACAUCCUGAUGCAUUCUUACCAUGUGAAUGUUGAGAGCGGGUUCAUUUUUGAAAUCUUCUUUCUGACAGACAUAUUCUACAUGAUUAGCUGAGAUGUUAUUUCACUGGAUUAUUUAAUGGAUAGGCUUAUUGGGCAUAUAGUUGGAUAUCUCUGGAUCAGCUGAGAUGUUAUUUCACUGGAUUAUUUAAUGGAUAGGCUUAUUGGGCAUAUAGUUGGAUAUCUCUGGUAAG